RNAcentral lists this long non-coding RNA (543 nucleotides) under Anas platyrhynchos platyrhynchos (common mallard). RNAcentral's name for it is "lncRNA (ENSAPLG00000026426.1)". Lineage: Eukaryota; Metazoa; Chordata; Aves; Anseriformes; Anatidae. The record is from RNAcentral.
CCCUACUCCGCAGUCGUGGGAACAGGGAGAAGUGAUCCUCCGUGAACUGCGAGUAGGAAGCUGCGAGGGAAUCGGCAGAUGAGUUUUUAACGUUAGGCCUUGUUUAUGCUGGGGAUUAAGUCAUUUGUGGUCAGCAACCAGUGCAGCUGGGCUGCUGCAGGCUCCCAGUUCACAUCCGAUGACAUGACUCGGGUGGAAAUCGGGGGCACGCUCAGCUGCUGGAAGGGCGAUUUCUGCCCUCUCUGCCGGGCUGCUGGCGGUGGCCAGAGCGGAGGUGACUGGGUGUGUGCGGUGCCGGGGUCCCCGGCAUGCCAGUGGCAUGCAUUUUGGAUACUUUAUAAAGGUUCAUCCUCUUCAGUAGCAGAUCUCUGAUUCCAGGUUCUGCCUCAGGUCUGGACUUCUUUCCAAGUGAAGGAAGAAAUCUUCCACCUUCCAGAAACCUGAUAUUUUGGACCAGAUCCCUCUCUGAACAGGUUGUAUGCUGCCCUUUUCAAAAUCAAGCUAUCAGAAGAUGCCCUUCAGCAGAAGUGUUAAGAGGACUUG